CUCGUAGGCGGCUCGUCGCGUCCGGUGUGAAAGUCCAUCGCUUAACGGUGGAUCCGCGCCGGGUACGGGCGGGCUUGAGUGCGGUAGGGGAGACUGGAAUUCCCGGUGUAACGGUGGAAUGUGUAGAUAUCGGGAAGAACACCAAUGGCGAAGGCAGGUCUCUGGGCCGUUACUGACGCUGAGGAGCGAAAGCGUGGGGAGCGAACA
This 207-nucleotide ribosomal RNA is filed under the name uncultured bacterium. RNAcentral's name for it is "partial 16S ribosomal RNA". It matches the Rfam family "Bacterial small subunit ribosomal RNA", at positions 568 to 774 of the family's 1533-position model. The record is from RNAcentral.